CCAGCCUGACCACCCCCGUCGAUCGCACCCCAUCGCCAUCGCUAUCUCUCUUUCCCCUCUCCUCCAUUCCCGAGUAAUCACCCAUCCGCACCAAACAAGCCACGCCACCAACUAUUUCCCUUUUCAUCCUACCUCCGACCCCCUUUGCCCUUUAAUACACAAGCCCUCCUCUGAUGCAACUCCCCUUCCUCACCUACCCUACAACCGUCCCCCUCACCCU
This 220-nucleotide long non-coding RNA is filed under the name Gossypium barbadense (sea-island cotton). RNAcentral describes it as "long non-coding RNA (GBAR_LNC018315)". Lineage: Eukaryota; Viridiplantae; Streptophyta; Magnoliopsida; Malvales; Malvaceae. The record is from RNAcentral.